GACGAACGCUGGCGGCGUGCUUAACACAUGCAAGUCGAACGGAAAGGCCCUGCUUUUGUGGUGUGCUCGAGUAGCGAAAGGGUGAGUAACAAGGGAGUAACCUCCCCUUGACUUUCUGAUUACUUCAGGAAACUGGCGCUAAUACCCGAUAAGAGCUCCUGCUUCAGGGUGGGGGUUGGAAAGUUUCGGCGGUUGGGGAUUGACUCGCGUCUUAUCAGCUUGUGGGUGGGGUAGUGGCUUACCAAGGCUUUGACGGGUAGCCGGCCUGGCAGGGUGACCGGCCCGAUUGGGACUGAGAUAGGGCCCAGACUCCUACGGGAGGCAGCGGUGGGGAGUAUUGCACAAUGGGAGGAAGCGUGAUGCGGCACCGCCGCGUGCGGGAUGACGGCCUGGGGGUUGUAACCCGCUUCCGCCUGUGACGAAGCGUGAGUGACGGUAAUGUGUAAAGAAGCACCGGCUAAAUACGUG
RNAcentral lists this ribosomal RNA (468 nucleotides) under uncultured bacterium. RNAcentral describes it as "partial 16S ribosomal RNA". It matches the Rfam family "Bacterial small subunit ribosomal RNA", at positions 28 to 507 of the family's 1533-position model. The record is from RNAcentral.